Molecule: ribosomal RNA, 45 nt
Filed under: Puccinia pseudomesnieriana
Lineage: Eukaryota; Fungi; Basidiomycota; Pucciniomycetes; Pucciniales; Pucciniaceae
Description: partial 28S ribosomal RNA
Source: RNAcentral
AAUAUGAUACAGUCUCUAAGAGUCGAGUUGUUUGGGAAUGCAGCU